GAUGAACGCUGGCGGCGUGCCUAAUACAUGCAAGUCGAACGAAACUUCUUUAUCACCGAGUGCUUGCACUCACCGAUACAGGGUUGAGUGGCGAACGUGUGCGUACCACGUGGGCAACCUGCCCACAAGAGGGGGAUAACACUUGGAAACAGGUGCUACUACCGCAUAACCAUAGUUACCGCAUGGCACCUAUGUAAAAGGUGGCUAUGCUACCGCUUUUGGAUGGGCCCGCGGCGCAUUAGCUAGUUGUUAGGGUAAAGCCUUACCAAGGCAAUGAGGCGUAGCCGAAUUGAGAGGUUGGUCGCCCACAUGGGAGCGGGGACACGGACCAAACGCCUACGGGAGGCAGCAGUAGGGAACCUGCCACAGUGGGCGAAACCUGAUGGAGCAACGCCGCGGGGGUGAAGAAGGUCUUCGGAUCGGAAAACCCUGUUGUUAGGGAAGAAAGUGCGUGCGAGUAACUGUUCACGUUUCGACGGUAACUAGGCAGAAAGCCACGGCUAACUACGUG
Molecule: ribosomal RNA, 511 nt
Filed under: uncultured bacterium
Lineage: Bacteria
Description: partial 16S ribosomal RNA
Rfam family: Bacterial small subunit ribosomal RNA
Source: RNAcentral